Molecule: ribosomal RNA, 501 nt
Filed under: uncultured bacterium
Lineage: Bacteria
Description: partial 16S ribosomal RNA
Rfam family: Bacterial small subunit ribosomal RNA
Source: RNAcentral
AUUGAACGCUGGCGGCAUGCCUUACACAUGCAAGUCGAACGGCAGCACGGGUGCUUGCACCUGGUGGCGAGUGGCGAACGGGUGAGUAAUACAUCGGAACGUACCUUAUCGUGGGGGAUAACGCAGCGAAAGCUGUGCUAAUACCGCAUACGCCCUGAGGGGGAAAGCGGGGGAUCGCAAGACCUCGCGCGAUUAGAGCGGCCGAUGCCUGAUUAGCUUGUUGGUGGGGUAAAAGCCCACCAAGGCGACGAUCAGUAGCUGGUCGGAGAGGACGAUCAGCAACACUGGGACUGAGACACGGCCCAGACUCCUACGGGAGGCAGCAGUGGGGAAUUUUGGACAAUGGGGGCAACCCUGAUCCAGCAAUGCCGCGUGAGUGAAGAAGGCCUUCGGGUUGUAAAGCUCUUUUGUCAGAGAAGAAACACCGGCUCUAACACAGUCCGGGAAUGACGGUACCUGAAGAAUAAGCACCGGCUAACUACGUGCCAGCCGCCGCAGUAA